GGGUCCGUCGUCUAGUGGCUAGGACGCCACCCUGACGCGGUGGAGGUCCCGGUUCGAUUCCGGGCGGACCCA
Molecule: transfer RNA, 72 nt
Filed under: Candidatus Aenigmatarchaeota archaeon
Lineage: Archaea; Nanobdellati; Candidatus Aenigmatarchaeota
Description: tRNA-Val
Rfam family: tRNA
About the family: Transfer RNA (tRNA) molecules are approximately 80 nucleotides in length. Their secondary structure includes four short double-helical elements and three loops (D, anti-codon, and T loops).
Source: RNAcentral